This 411-nucleotide ribosomal RNA is filed under the name uncultured bacterium. RNAcentral describes it as "bacterial SSU rRNA". It matches the Rfam family "Bacterial small subunit ribosomal RNA", at positions 29 to 440 of the family's 1533-position model. The record is from RNAcentral.
AGUGAACGCUGGCGGCAGGCCUAACACAUGCAAGUCGAACGGCAGCACAGAGGAGCUUGCUCCUUGGUGGCGAGUGGCGGACGGGUGAGGAAUACAUCGGAAUCUGCCCAGUCGUGGGGGAUAACAUAGGGAAAUUUAUGCUAAUACCGCAUACGACCUACGGGUGAAAGCGGGGGAUCGCAAGACCUCGCGCGAUUGGAUGAGCCGACGUCCGAUUAGCUAGUUGGCGGGUAAUGGCCCACCAAGGCGACGAUCGGUAGCUGGUCUGAGAGGAUGAUCAGCCACACUGGAACUGAGACACGGUCCAGACUCCUACGGGAGGCAGCAGUGGGGAAUAUUGGACAAUGGGCGCAAGCCUGAUCCAGCCAUGCCGCGUGGGUGAAGAAGGCCUGGUUGUAAGCCUUUGUCCGG